AUUGAGCGCUGGCGGCAUGCCUCACACAUGCAAGUCGAACGGCAGCACGGGAGCAAUCCUGGUGGCGAGUGGCGAACGGGUGAGUAAUACAUCGGAACGUGCCCAAUCGUGGGGGAUAACGCAGCGAAAGCUGUGCUAAUACCGCAUACGAUCCACGGAUGAAAGCAGGGGAUCGCAAGACCUUGCGCGAAUGGAGCGGCCGAUGGCAGAUUAGGUAGUUGGUGAGGUAAAGGCUCACCAAGCCGUCGAUCUGUAGCUGGUCUGAGAGGACGACCAGCCACACUGGGACUGAGACACGGCCCAGACUCCUACGGGAGGCAGCAGUGGGGAAUUUUGGACAAUGGGCGAAAGCCUGAUCCAGCCAUGCCGCGUGCAGGAUGAAGGCCUUCGGGUUGUAAACUGCUUUUGUACGGAACGAAACGGCCUUUUCUAAUAAAGAGGGCUAAUGACGGUACCGUAAGAAUAAGCACCGGCUAACUACGUGCCAGCAGCCGCGGUAAUACGUAGGGUGCAAGCGUUAAUCGGAAUUACUGGGCGUAAAGCGUGCGCAGGCGGUUAUGUAGGACAGUUGUGAAAUCCCCGGGCUCAACCUGGGAACUGCAUCUGUGACUGCAUAGCUAGAGUACGGUAGAGGGGGGAUGGAAUUCCCGCGUGUAGCAGUGAAAUGCGUAGAUAUGCGGAGGAACACCGAUGGCGAAGGCAAUCCCCCUGGACUGUUUCUGACGCUCAUGCACGAAAGCGUGGGGACAAAA
This 752-nucleotide ribosomal RNA is filed under the name uncultured Comamonadaceae bacterium. RNAcentral's name for it is "bacterial SSU rRNA". It matches the Rfam family "Bacterial small subunit ribosomal RNA", at positions 28 to 772 of the family's 1533-position model. Lineage: Bacteria; Pseudomonadati; Pseudomonadota; Betaproteobacteria; Burkholderiales; Comamonadaceae. The record is from RNAcentral.